CCCUUAGAUGUCCUGGGCUGCACGCGCGCUACACUGAUGUGUCCAGUAAGCACCCAACCUCUUCCGAAAGGAACGGGUAACCUUUGCAAAGCACAUCGUGAUGGGGAUAGAUUAUUGCAAUUAUUAGUCUUGAACGAGGAAUUCCUAGUAAGCACAAGUCAUCAGCUUGUGUUGAUUACGUCCCUGCCCUUUGUACACACCGCCCGUCGCUCCUACCGAUUGAAUGUUCCGGUGAGCUCUUCGGACUGCGCGGUCUGCAGUUUCUGCGUUCCGUGCGGAAAGUUGCGCAAACCUUAACAUUUAGAGGAAGGAGAAGUCGUAACA
This 324-nucleotide ribosomal RNA is filed under the name uncultured eukaryote. RNAcentral describes it as "partial 18S ribosomal RNA". It matches the Rfam family "Eukaryotic small subunit ribosomal RNA", at positions 1470 to 1796 of the family's 1831-position model. The record is from RNAcentral.